AGCCUCGGAUAUGAUUUUUAUGGAGGUCAUCUGGGAGGAGUUGGAAUUGGAUCCAAUUCCCGCUUGACAGCGCAGAUUUGUUCUCGCGAAUCCAUUCACCAGUUCUAUGCUACAUAUUCUUAGAUGCAGAUUUGUUCUCGCAAAUCCAUUCACCAGUUCUAUGCUACAUAUUCUUAGAUAUUCAUUCAAUCGCUCAAAAGUCCCAUUCAUUCUCGAGUUAUGGGUGUUGGAUUCCGUCAUGAUGGCAUGCUCAGACUGAGGGUUGCUCGCACUCUUACCAUAUACAAGUUUAAUUUCGUGAUAUCUCCAUUUCAUACUCGACCACCAUUGCUUCUAUGUGAACGUGGACCGAGCAUCCCUUCAGGUGUACGCCCAACUCUUGCACAGAGGCAAAGGCUUUGUUUUUAGGUACCGAAAUCCACUUGCAAAUAUUGUUUUUCAUAAGAGAAAGACACACCUGCCCAUAUUAUACAAGGUAUUGAGCGUUGAGAUGGACCCAAAUUCGAUUCACAAGAAAGUGCACUUACAUGUUCUUAAAAAUUGGGUCCAAAAAUCCAUCACAAAAUUAUAUUUUAAGAGGUGACUUAUUUCUCAAUGGACUCAUAGGAACCUUGUCCUUUGGAUAAUGUCCCUCUAUAAUAACUAUAGUGAUAAAUAAGUAUGGACAAGGUUUUUAUGAGUCGGCAAUCUCAUCUAUUUAUAUGAGCCUCUUGCAAAAUCUAUUUUAGAGAGAUUUUUGGAUUCAAAAUUUUAGGGGAUGAAAAUCUCGAUCAUGAUAGGUAAGAACCUGAAAAAAAUAUAUAUAUAUAUAAAAUAUCAAAUUUUUUAUUUAUUUUUACGUACUUUGAACAUUGUCGAUUUCAAUUUUUUGUGGGGUUGCCAUUUUGGAGCAUCCAUCUCCAAGAUGGGUGUUACAUGUGCCAGAGGACUCAAGGUACACUAUUACAAAAGCACAUGUCCCCUGACGCAUAAACUACUUUUAGCAUAAUUUUUUAUUUGAUGGCCAUAAAGAAUAGGGUUUAGUUGAUAUUAGAUAUGGAUUUUGGAAUAAAAUCAGGCAGGUAACAAAUAUUAAAAUAAAUAAACAAAUGACCCUAAAAAACAGUUUUUUUUGUAUUUUGUAUUUUCUAUUUUCUAAAUGGUAAGUGUUAAUUUUUUAAAGAUCAUCAGAUUUACACUCUUUAGAGCUUCAAAUUUACAUUUUCAAUAAAAAAUGGUCCUCAUAAAUCAUGGCGAAAAUCGUCUAGCACACCAAAUAUUUUUCUUACUCUUUCGGUUUACUUUGCACGUGUAUCAGUAGGUCUAGUGUUUUAAAUCCCGAUGAACCAGAUAGAGAACGGCUGAUCCAUAUCAGAUUUGGCGGUCUUUGGGUUUACUUUGCGCGUGUACAAGUAGGUCUAGUGUUUUAAAUCCGGAUGAUCCAGAUCAAGAACAGCUGAUUCAUAUCAGAUUUGGCGAGUGCGUGAUCCGGGUCUUGACUCCCCCACAAAUCUAUCCUUGGAUGAAGCUUCUAUGAGCCCUAGGUUUUAUCAAAACAAAGUAAAGCAUCAAAUCCUCGUCUCGAAAGCACUUUCAAUAAUGGAAAUUUUUAUGAUGGAUCUAAACUCAAUUUCCAACACUGAAAAUAAGAUUUGAAACUCAAAAAAGAGUACAGAUCUUGUGGAUCUAUAGACAUUUAUUUUUAUGGUAAAAUGGACGGUCUACAUAAUUUAUUACAAUAUAAACUAUUUUUAGAGCUUAAAUUUUUUUUUUUUUUCACAAUCAUAAUGUUCAUACCGAUAUGAAAGUGUAAAGGCUUUUCAAUACUUGAGCUAUAAUUUUUGAUGAGUUAUCAGGUGAGGAUAUACUUAUUUUGAUAGAAUUGUGGCCUUAUCAAACCAUUUUUCUUGCUUUUUUAAUUAUUUGUUUAACUGAUUUUCUGCCAGUUCAGCAUAGUCGGAUCGGGGAUCCAGAUUCAUACAAUGGCCAAAACCUCGUCCCCAAGUUUUGAAGCACUGAGCAUAUCACCAAAUUAAUAAGCAUUAUCCCUGUGUUUCUCUCUUUCCCUGAAAGCACUUCACAAGGAUGGCCACACUAUUCUCAUGCAAACUGAAGAAAGUAGACGACAGUAACAGGGUUUUGCUAACUUUUAAGCUUAACUAAGCAAUAAUUACAUGUACGAUACGGCAAAUGCACGUGAAUUAUAAGGAAACAAGUAUUAUAAUUAAUGAAAGAAUAUUAGAUUAAGAAGCAAGAUCGGUGUAUAUUCUUUUGACUCUUGUUUUUGUUUUAAAAUAUUUUAAGGUGCACGUUCUCACCAUUUGCAAUGUCAGGACAUCAUGGUCAUUUCUGAAAUAUACAGCUGCAUACCCCUCUCUAAGAGAUUAAUUUAAUGUGGGGAAUUUUCCCCAUAUCCCUUUUGUUAAAGACUAUUUUAUCACACUUUAUUUAAACACUGACAAAAUUGACCAUAAUUAAAAGAAAAAGGGCACAUGAAACUAUAAAGUAC
RNAcentral lists this long non-coding RNA (2488 nucleotides) under Amborella trichopoda. RNAcentral describes it as "long non-coding RNA (ATRI_LNC004039)". Lineage: Eukaryota; Viridiplantae; Streptophyta; Magnoliopsida; Amborellales; Amborellaceae. The record is from RNAcentral.